AUGCAUGUUAACAUUAGAAGCCUCCUCCCUAAGUUUGUUCUAUUCACUGCUUUAGCACACUCUGCCAACCCGGAUGUUCUAGCUGUGUCUGAAUCCUGGCUUAGGAAGACCACCAAAAAUUCAGACAUUUUAAUUCCAAACUACAACAUUUUCAGACAAGAUAGAACUGCCAAAGGGGGCGGUGUUGCAAUCUACUGCAAAGAUAGCCUGCAGAGUUCUGUCCUACUAUCCAGGUCUGUACCCAAACAAUUUGAACUUCUACUUUUAAAAACCCACCUCUCUAAAAACAAGUCUCUCACCGUUGCCGCCUGCUAUAGACUACCCUCUGCCCCCAGCUGUGCUCUGGACACCAUAUGUGAACUGAUUGCCCCCCAUCUAUCUUCAGAGCUUGUGCUGCUAGGCGACCUAAACUGGAACAUGCUUAACACCCCAGCCAUCCUACAAUCUAAACUUGAUGCCCUCAACCUCACACAAAUUAUCAAUGAACCUACCAGGUACCUCCCCAAAGCCUUAAACACGGGCACCCUCAUAGAUAUCAUCCUAACCAACUUGCCCUCUAAAUACACCUCUGCUGUUUUCAACCAAGAUCACUGCCUCAUUGCCUGCAUCCGUAAUGGGUCAGCGGUCAAACGACCUCCACUCAUCACUGUAAAACGCUCCCUGAAACACUUCAGCGAGCAGGCCUUUCUAAUCGACCUGGCCGGGGUAUCCUGGAAGGAUAUUGAUCUCAUCCCGUCAGUAGAGGAUGCCUGGAUAUUUUUUUUAAAUGCCUUCCUAACCAUCUUAAAUAAACAUGCCCCAUUCAAGAAAUGUAGAACCAGGAACAGAUAUAGCCCUUGGUUCUCCCCAGACCUGACUGCCCUUAACCAACACAAAAACAUCCUAUGGCGUUCUGCAUUAGCAUCGAACAGCCCCCGUGAUAUGCAGCUGUUCAGGGAAGCUAGAAACCAUUAUACACAGGCAGUUAGAAAAGCCAAGGCUAGCUUUUUCAAGCAGAAAUUUGCUUCCUGCAACACUAACUCAAAAAAAGUUCUGGGACACUGUAAAGUCCAUGGAGAAUAA
This 1062-nucleotide long non-coding RNA is filed under the name Oncorhynchus mykiss (rainbow trout). RNAcentral describes it as "lncRNA (ENSOMYG00000071908.1)". Lineage: Eukaryota; Metazoa; Chordata; Actinopteri; Salmoniformes; Salmonidae. The record is from RNAcentral.